AUGCUUUGUAUUGAUGUAUUGGUACGGAAUUUAGAAGCUUCAUGCUUUGUAUCUCAGUAUGUUCACAGUGGCUUCAAUCUACAAUUUAAAAAGAGAACCGGUUCAGAUAAAUGCGAACACUGGUUGGGGGUUCUAAGAAGGAUGACCCAAAAUGGGAGCAUGACAGACACCAUGGUCCAGGAAAUAAGGGGGAAUCCCGUGGUGUCUACUAUGCUUUCAGAAAUCCUAUGCAGUCAGGGAGAUUCCUUUAGAUUUUUGCAUGAUGAGCAGAUAGAUGUAAAGGGUCGUGGUGUCUACUAUGCUUUUCAGAAAGGAUUUACUAUAUUUUUGCAGCAGGCUACAUGCUUCUCUGAAUGA
RNAcentral lists this ribosomal RNA (357 nucleotides) under Triticum aestivum (bread wheat). RNAcentral describes it as "partial small subunit ribosomal RNA". The record is from RNAcentral. Lineage: Eukaryota; Viridiplantae; Streptophyta; Magnoliopsida; Poales; Poaceae.